UUGGAACUUCAGCUGAAAAUCCCUCGGAAAUUCUUGCAGAUCCGUUUCUCCUCUUGCCUUCAUUGACGGUAAUGUAUUCUCUUAAAAGUAAGAAGGUCCUCUCUCGUUAAACCCUGACUUAUUGUCUUUAUAUCUAGUGUAAAGCCUUUGUUUCAGAGUCCAAAUAGGCUUGUAAGUCCUCUUAGAAUGAGUGACAAAGAAAGGAAAGUCGAAUUGAGAUUCUUGUCUAGAGUCAUUACAUAGCCCGUGUAGUGUUGCACAGGUUUGCCCAUGAAACUGCUUAGACCUCAAAUUUUCAGCUUUUUUGUAGCUCAGAAGUUUAUACAGGGCAAGGAAAAUUGCUCGAAUCUAG
This 352-nucleotide unclassified non-coding RNA is filed under the name Hevea brasiliensis (rubber tree). The record is from RNAcentral. Lineage: Eukaryota; Viridiplantae; Streptophyta; Magnoliopsida; Malpighiales; Euphorbiaceae.